GAGGUUACUGCUAUCGAGGUUCGACUAAGCCAUGCGAGUCGAAUGUAGCAAUACAUGGCGAACUGCUCAGUAACACGUGGACAACCUGCCCUUAGGACGGGGAUAAACCCGGGAAACUGGGUAUAAUACCCGAUAGGUCUCGAUUGCUGGAAUGCAUCGAGAUUUAAAGCUCCGGCGCCUAAGGAUGGGUCUGCGGCCUAUCAGGUAGUAGUGGGUGUAGCGUACCUACUAGCCUACGACGGGUACGGGUUGUGAGGGCAAGAGCCCGGAGAUGGAUUCUGAGACACGAAUCCAGGCCCUACGGGGUGCAGCAGGCGCGAAAACUUUACAAUGCUGGCAACAGCGAUAAGGGAACCUCGAGUGCCAGGUUACAAAUCUGGCUGUCGAGAUGCCUAAAAAGCAUUUCAUAGCAAGGGCCGGGCAAGACCGGUGCCAGCCGCCGCGGUAACACCGGCGGCUCGAGUGGUAACCGUUAUUAUUGGGUCUAAAGGGUCUGUAGCCGGCCGGAUAAGUCUCUUGAGAAAUCUGGCAGCUUAACUGUCAGGCUUUCAGGAGAUACUGUCUGGCUCGAGGCCGGGAGAGGUGAGAGGUACUUCAGGGGUAGGGGUGAAAUCUUGUAAUCCUUGAAGGACCACCAGUGGCGAAGGCGUCUCACCAGAACGGACCUGACGGCAAGGGACGAAAGCUAGGGGCACGAACCGGAUUAGAUACCCGGGUAGUCCUAGCCGUAAACGAUACUCGCUAGGUGUCGGCCACGGUGCGACCGUUGUCGGUGCCGUAGGGAAGCCGUGAAGCGAGCCACCUGGGAAGUACGGCCGCAAGGCUGAAACUUAAAGGAAUUGGCGGGGGAGCACCACAACGGGUGGAGCUUGCGGUUU
RNAcentral lists this ribosomal RNA (878 nucleotides) under uncultured Methanosarcinales archaeon. RNAcentral describes it as "bacterial SSU rRNA". It matches the Rfam family "Archaeal small subunit ribosomal RNA", at positions 20 to 903 of the family's 1478-position model. Lineage: Archaea; Methanobacteriati; Methanobacteriota; Methanomicrobia; Methanosarcinales. The record is from RNAcentral.